RNAcentral lists this transfer RNA (38 nucleotides) under Phytolacca icosandra. RNAcentral's name for it is "tRNA-Cys". RNAcentral also lists the same sequence under 1 other name. Lineage: Eukaryota; Viridiplantae; Streptophyta; Magnoliopsida; Caryophyllales; Phytolaccaceae. The record is from RNAcentral.
AAAUCCUUUUUUCCCCAGUUCAAAUCCGGGUGUCCCCU